GACGAACGCUGGCGGCGUGCUUAACACAUGCAAGUCGAGGCCGGUAAGGCCCUUUCGGGGGUACACGAGCGGCGAACGGGUGAGUAACACGUGGGUGACCUGCCCUCAGGCUCUGGGAUAAGCCUGGGAAACCGGGUCUAAUACCGGAUAUGACUCCAUGACGCAUGUUGUGGGGUGAAAGCCUUGUGCGGCUGAGGAUGGGCCCG
Molecule: ribosomal RNA, 206 nt
Filed under: uncultured bacterium
Lineage: Bacteria
Description: partial 16S ribosomal RNA
Rfam family: Bacterial small subunit ribosomal RNA
Source: RNAcentral